GACGAACGCUGGCGGCGUGCUUAACACAUGCAAGUCGAACGGAAAGGCCCUGCUUUUGUGGGGUGCUCGAGUGGCGAACGGGUGAGUAACACGUGAGUAACCUGCCCUUGACUUUGGGAUAACUUCAGGAAACUGGGGCUAAUACCGGAUAGGAGCUCCUGCUGCAUGGUGGGGGUUGGAAAGUUUCGGCGGUUGGGGAUGGACUCGCGGCUUAUCAGCUUGUUGGUGGGGUAGUGGCUUACCAAGGCAUUGACGGGUAGCCGGCCUGAGAGGGUGACCGGCCACAUUGGGACUGAGGUACGGGCCAGACUCCUACGGGAGGCAGCAGUGGGAAAUAUUGCACAAUGGGCGGAAGGCUGAUGCAGCAACGCCGCGUGCUGGAUGACGGCCUUCGGGUUGUAAACCGCUUUCGCCUGUGACGAAGCGUGAGUGACGGUAAUGGGUAAAGAAGCAACGGCUAACUACGUG
Molecule: ribosomal RNA, 468 nt
Filed under: uncultured bacterium
Lineage: Bacteria
Description: partial 16S ribosomal RNA
Rfam family: Bacterial small subunit ribosomal RNA
Source: RNAcentral